Long non-coding RNA from Scylla paramamosain (green mud crab), 1420 nucleotides. RefSeq lists it as uncharacterized. The record is from RefSeq and is a predicted model, not a curated record. The transcript is spliced from 2 exons. NCBI's taxonomy places the organism in Eukaryota, Metazoa, Arthropoda, Malacostraca, Decapoda, Portunidae.
UGAAACUUUGGCAGUAUACCUUUCUCGCCCCUCAGUGACUUGUGCAGCGUAAUACCUUCAGCAGGAUAUGUUCAACAGAGUAUGGCUGAAGAAUACCCCAUAGUGACUGAGGAUGAGAACCCUGAGCCUGCUGCAGCCCUCCAGCCUGUUGUAGGCCCAACCUGUUAUAGCCCACCAGCCUGCUGUAACCCGCCAACCUCCUGAAGGCACCCAGCCUGCGAAGCCCUCCAACGUUUUAAAAAUAGUUCCUGGUGUGGCUGUAGGAAAUGAGCUGCUGACGAAAUGCGGGACAGCAGUAGCGGAGGUCAGAUAGCAGGCUGCAAAGAAAAAAUGGAAGCUGCAACACCGGAGGUGCAGGUUGCCAAAGAAAACUUGAAAAAAAAAAAAGGAACAGUAUGAGACUGCUAAAAUGAUGACUGUAUAUUAUGCAGCUUAGCUUACUGAACUAAAUAAAGCUCAAGGAUAUUUCAAGAUUUUUUACUGUAAGAUUUCCUUUUACAUGUUAUAGUUUAUAGGUAAGGUCUUUCAAAUAAUUUCAUACCUCAGAAAGGAUACAAGUUUGCUUUACAGUAACAAUGUUGCUUUAGUAACUCUUGGUGAGAUCCAUACUGAUCAUCAGCUAUCUCUUCUUUCAUUGCUAAAAAGAAAUAAGGAAAAAAUAGUCAGUAUUUUAUGAGCUAUUGCAGCAUGGUUUUUUUUUGUUUUUUUUACCAGAAUACAGUAAACUAUGAAGGAUGUCAGUAUUGUCAAUUUUUAACAAGAUUUUCAAUAAUUGUUACUGUAAGAAGUUGAAGUGAGCCUGCGAGAGGCUCACAGACUAGUCAGUGAGUCCCGCCAAAACGAGUCUUAAGGCCCUGAAGGUUUGUUGUUGUGGGGAUUUUGGCGGGAGAGGCGAGCGAGAGAGAGACAGGGUGCAGAGUAGUGGUGGAUUUGCCAUUUGAUUUGCAGGAGUUUGGUCUUGGCAGUGUGCUGUGGGACGUCAGUGAGGUGGCACCGUAGCAGAUACUGUGAACUAAGGAGGCUGCAGUGAGGAACUUGCUGUCCCUGGCUGCUAUGGUGUUAGUACCGCCGUGCAUGGAGGAAGAGCUGCAGUACUUCAGGAUAGUGGUAGUGGUGUACCUUCAGCGCGUUGGGUCGGUGUGCGGUUGGGCCUAUAGGGUGUGAGGGUCCUGGAGGUACUGGUUAGGAUGGGACAGUGUCAGUGGCAUAUAACAUUUCUUGUGUUGGUGCGUGAAGUGUUUAUUUUUCCUGUUUAUUUGUACGUGGAUUUACCCAUUUUCUCAUGGGAUCAGGUAUUUUGGAGUGCCAGCAGUGUGGCCUCUAAGAGUGUUAAGCACUCAUAUUUUAUUUGUGUUUUCUUUACUAUGUACUCAUUUGUGUUUUCUUUAUUAUGUACUCAACCAUUAAAUUUUUAAAUUGU